Non-coding RNA from Apodospora peruviana, 72 nucleotides. NCBI's taxonomy places the organism in Eukaryota, Fungi, Ascomycota, Sordariomycetes, Sordariales, Lasiosphaeriaceae. The record is from the annotation of a GenBank genome assembly.
GCCCUGCUGGCGCAAUGGUAGCGCGCCAGACUUCUAAUCUGGAGGCUGUGGGUUCGAGCCCCACGUGGGGUG